UGUGUUAGGAUGUCAUAUACUUCACAUAGAUAUGAUGAUAAAUUUAUUUAGUACAAAAAUAUGGUCUAGCUAACUUGUUUCAAUGAGGUUGGUUUUGUGAUGUGACAAUAUAUUACCCAACGCAAAGACAGGUUGGGUAACACGAGAAUGUCUUACGAAAUAAAGAGAUAACAGCACUAGAUAUAUACACGUGCACAGUCACAGUGACCACAGCGUWUUCAAGCUAGAAAAAUGAAUAAUAAAAGGACUUAUGCUGAAGUCGUUUCUGGCAAUGGUAAGUAAAUUGAUAUUACUUAAUAUAAUACAACUCAUUCGGCCGACUCAAUCUUCUUCCGACGAAAGUUUGGGUGCAAAGUGAGUAAUCAUUAUUAUACUCCGUUAUUCCCGUUAGUUGUAUUUUGUUUACUACUUUCAAAAUAUGCUGGUUUGUAAUCAACAUUUCCCACUAAAUACUAGUGUUCAAGCAAGUGUCCAUCUGASKUACAGAAAGAAGACAGGCCAAGGCAAGGUUAAAGGGAAGAUCUUUUGACGAGCAUUGAAUAAAAUGAUAAAAUCCUCUGCAGCUGGAAAUACGUCUGUUGUGAAGCCAAGGCACGUCGUUUCCUGCCCAGAUACUAUUGUCAUAUCGUCAAGCCCAGAAACUAGUCCACGAAAAGAGCCACGAGCUGCUGAAACGACAACAAUUGCCAUCCCGUCUAGCCCUGAAUGUAGUCCACAAAAGAGAGAAA
Molecule: long non-coding RNA, 728 nt
Organism: Exaiptasia diaphana
Lineage: Eukaryota; Metazoa; Cnidaria; Anthozoa; Actiniaria; Aiptasiidae
Exons: 4
Source: RefSeq, a predicted model, not a curated record